GAUGGACAACAGGUUGAUAUUCCUGUACUACCGAUAACCGUUUGAGAGAAGGGAUGACACAGUAGGAUAAGCUAAGCACACGGUUGGUUAUGUGUGCCCAAGCAUUGAGGCAGUCAAAGUAGGCAAAUCCGCUUUGAUAAUGCUGGGAUGUGAUGGGGAGCGAAAUUUAGUAGCGAAGUAGCUGAUUUCACACUGUCAAGAAAAGUCUC
Molecule: ribosomal RNA, 209 nt
Filed under: Clostridioides difficile
Lineage: Bacteria; Bacillati; Bacillota; Clostridia; Peptostreptococcales; Peptostreptococcaceae
Description: partial 23S ribosomal RNA
Rfam family: Bacterial large subunit ribosomal RNA
Source: RNAcentral